GUUGUCGCCUCCAAGAAGGUGGGGGCCAGAGGGUGGGGAAGGGGACGGGUGGAGGGACAGAAGGGAUGCAGAGGACCAGAGAAGUUGUGGCUGCAGGUCCCCUCUUCCCGCUCGCGCCUGGGGUUCCCUCUCCUCCCCCUGUGCAGCACAGCCGGCGCGGGCGUCCGAGCGCCGGGAGCCGGGGCUUAUAUGGGACGGUCCCCUCCCGCCCCUCUGGAGGCCCGGGGCGCGGGGGAGGAGAGACCCGCCGGGCUGUCCCCGCCCCGCCCCACCCCACCCGCCCGCCCGCCCGCCGGCCGCCGCAGCCGACCGCGCGCCGAUUGGCCCGGGCUCCGGGUGACGUCACGGGGGACUGUGGGUUCGCAGCGAACAAAAGAGAUGCUGAUGGCCCGCCAGGACUGGGGAAAGCCUUCCUUUCCUGGGGAUGGGACGCCCGUUUCCACUGAAAGUGAAAUCACUGUGAACAACCUGAAAAUU
RNAcentral lists this long non-coding RNA (477 nucleotides) under Homo sapiens (human). RNAcentral describes it as "non-protein coding lnc-ATIC-2:3". Lineage: Eukaryota; Metazoa; Chordata; Mammalia; Primates; Hominidae. The record is from RNAcentral.